AACAACAAGAACAUGCCAGGCUAAUAAGACUUGGAGUGGUACAGAAUCUUAUUGUAAUAUAAUUUAUUGCUCUGCACUAGAAGAACCUCAGAAAGGAGAAAGAAUGGGAGAUGAAACAAUUUGCUCAGCACGUGUUGAGUUUAAAUGUGAUACAGGGUAUAGACUGAGUGGCUCCAGUAUUCGAACAUGCUUGGAAAACAGAACAUGGAGUGGACAACAGCCAACUUGUGACUUGGUUUACUGUGAAGAACUGUCAUCUCCAAGUGAUGGCAUUAAGCUGGGCAAUGAGACAGUUGUUUUUUCUCAAGUUUU
Long non-coding RNA from Corticium candelabrum, 312 nucleotides. RefSeq lists it as uncharacterized. Lineage: Eukaryota; Metazoa; Porifera; Homoscleromorpha; Homosclerophorida; Plakinidae. The record is from RefSeq and is a predicted model, not a curated record. The transcript is spliced from 3 exons.